AAAAAAUGGGUUCAGCUGGAGGCAGUAAACCCCAUGCUGUAUGCAUACCAUAUCCAUCUCAAGGCCAUGUUACUCCGGUGAUGCAACUAGCCAAGCUUCUGCACUCAACAGGCUUCCACAUAACCUUUGUUAACACCGAGUUCAACCAUCGACGACUAAUUCAGUCUAGAGGACCAGACUCCGUUAAGGGCCUGCCGGAUUUCCGAUUUGAGACUAUAACAGAUGGGAUGCCACCAUCUGAUCAUCUUGAUGCGACGCAGGAUGUUCCAUCCUUGUGUGAUUCAACCAGGAAGUACUGUUUGGCUCCAUUUAGAGAGCUACUAAACAAGUUAAAUUCAUCAUCCUCUGGGGUGCCCCCUGUUUCUUGCAUAAUUUCAGAUGGUGUCAUGAGCUUUGGUAUAAAGGCUGCAGAAGAAUUAAGCAUACCCCAGGUUCAAUUAUGGACUGCCUCAGCUUGCAGCUUCAUGUGUUAUUUGCACUUCAGUGAACUCAAACGAAGAGGCAUCGUCCCACACACAGUGAAAAAUUUCCUAAAUGACAGCAUAAGCGAAAACCCAAUUGAUUGGAUCCCUGGAAUGACUAACAUCCGUCUAAAGGAUAUGCCAACUUUUGUCAGAACUACCAAUGAUGAAAUAAUGUUUGAUUUCAUGGGAUCAGAAGCAGAGAACUGCUUGAACUCUUCUGCAAUUGUCUUCAACACCUUCGACGAGUUCGAUCAUGAAGUUUUAGAAGCAAUAAUUGCUUGUAAGUUUCCUCGCAUUUACACAAUAGGUCCACUAUCUUUGCUUGAAAGACAAAUGCCUGAAAGUGAAUCCAAGUCAAUUGCUUCAAGUUUAUGGAAAGAAGAUUCAAACUGCCUUGAAUGGCUAGAUAAAAGAAAACAUAACUCUGUUGUAUAUGUAAAUUAUGGUAGCGUAGCAAUGAUAACAGCGAGACACUUGAAAGAGCUUGCAUGGGGACUUGCAAAUAGUAAAC
RNAcentral lists this unclassified non-coding RNA (975 nucleotides) under Hevea brasiliensis (rubber tree). Lineage: Eukaryota; Viridiplantae; Streptophyta; Magnoliopsida; Malpighiales; Euphorbiaceae. The record is from RNAcentral.